GAUGAACGCUGGCGGCGUGCCUAAUACAUGCAAGUCGAGCGAACGGACGAGAAGCUUGCUUCUCUGAUGUUAGCGGCGGACGGGUGAGUAACACGUGGAUAACCUACCUAUAAGACUGGGAUAACUUCGGGAAACCGGAGCUAAUACCGGAUAAUAUUUUGAACCGCAUGGUUCAAUAGUGAAAGACGGUCUUGCUGUCACUUAUAGAUGGAUCCGCGCUGCAUUAGCUAGUUGGUAAGGUAACGGCUUACCAAGGCAACGAUGCAUAGCCGACCUGAGAGGGGGAUACGCCAACCCGGAAACGGGGACACGUCCAGAAUCCUACGGGAGGGAGCCGGAGGGAAACUUUCGGAAAGGGCGAAAGGCUGACGGAGGAAAGGCGCGGGAGUGAUGAAGGGCCUCGGAUCGUAAAAACCUGUUAAUAGGGAAGAACAUAUUUGUAAGUAAAUGUGGAACUCUUGAAGGUAACUAAUCAGAAAGCCCACGGUAAACAAGUGC
This 498-nucleotide ribosomal RNA is filed under the name uncultured bacterium. Its description in RNAcentral is "partial 16S ribosomal RNA". It matches the Rfam family "Bacterial small subunit ribosomal RNA", at positions 28 to 508 of the family's 1533-position model. The record is from RNAcentral.